AAUGAACGCUGGCGGCAUGCCUAAUACAUGCCAGUCGAACGAAACGACGGGGAGCUUGGUCCUUUGGCGUUGUCGGCGGACGGAUGCGUAACACAUAGGUAGAAUACCUCUACGACUGGGGUACUAACGGGGGACAAUAUCUACUAACGGAUAAUAUUUCGAACCUGGUGGUUCGAUAGUUAGAGAUGGCUUUGCUAUCAGUAAUAGCUGAACAAGCGCAGUAUUCGCUAGUUGGUAAGGUAGCGGCUUAGCAAGGCAACGAUACGUAGCCGACCUGAGAGGGUGAUCGGCCACACUGUAACUGAGAAACGGCCCAGACACCUACGGGAGGCAGCAGUAGGGAAUCUUCCGCAAUGGGCGAAAGCCUGAUGUAGCAACGCCGCGUGAGUGAUGAUGGACUUCGGAUCGUAAAGCGCUGUUAUUAUUGAAGAACAAACGCGCUAGUAACCGGGAACGUAUUGACGGUACCGAAACAGUAAGCCACGGCUAACUCCGUG
This 497-nucleotide ribosomal RNA is filed under the name uncultured bacterium. RNAcentral's name for it is "partial 16S ribosomal RNA". It matches the Rfam family "Bacterial small subunit ribosomal RNA", at positions 29 to 507 of the family's 1533-position model. The record is from RNAcentral.